Long non-coding RNA from Gouania willdenowi (blunt-snouted clingfish), 1857 nucleotides. The record is from Ensembl. Lineage: Eukaryota; Metazoa; Chordata; Actinopteri; Blenniiformes; Gobiesocidae.
UACCAACCGCCAUAGAACUCCACAUAGAAGAAGAAGGAGAAGAAGAAGAAGACCUGACGCCCGGUGGUCGUUCGUCGGUGAGUCCUCUGAUAAUACCCAACUGAAGCCGCGGGUACAGUGUUGUUGACGUCGAGAAGCUGCUCGUUGACGGGGUAACGUCGCUGUUCACACGGUCUCCUCUGCUCCCGAAAAUUCACCACCAUGGUUUGCUGUGCUGCAUGGGGAUGCUCCAAUCGCUCCGAAAAAGGAGUGAAAAUGUAUGGCUUCCCAACCGAACUAGAGAGGAGAAAGAAAUGGGUAGCCAAAGUCAGCAGGAGUGAUCUCAAAAUAAAUCAGGAUUAUAACUAUAAAAAACUCUGUGAGGCACAUUUUGAAGCAGACCAGUUUGUCAGGACACCAAAAGGCAAAACUAGACUGAAGAAAGAUGCCAUUCCCACAGUCUUUGUGCAUCGCCCUGUGGCCAAAAAGAGGAGGAGCCCUACACCACGAUGCACCACUGGACAUGUGACUACAACAACAAUAGCUGUUGAUCACAGCUACAGUCUUAAAGAUGGCAAAGUUCCCAAGAUUGAAGAAAGAAGGGAUGAGGUGACUGAGAGAAUGGAAAAUGAAAGUGAAGAAAAAGACAUCAUGGCUAGUGAGGAGAGACGGCGAGAACCGUCACAGCCCAGUCAGCCAACAGCCAGUGAGCCAGCAGACAGUCAAUCCAAUCUAUUGAAAACGUUAAAGAGACAAGAAGAAAUUACCAAAAAAGCAAAGGCAGCACUAAGAAAAAUGAGGAGGGAAAAUGCUGCUCUCAAGAAGACACUGAAAAUUAGGGACCACAAAAUAAAGAAAACUUUUUCAAAAGACCAAAUUAAGGCGUUAGGCAGGCUAACCACAAAAGGCAUGAAAUGGAGCAAUGAAACGAUUGAGAAGGCAUUGAAAAUUCGCUUUGCUGCCGGUCCUGCAGCUUACAAGACCCUGCAGGAAUUAGAGAUUCCUCUGCCGGGAAUACGAACCCUGCAAAGAAGGAUGCAGUGUGUUAAGUUUGAAAAAGAACAACACCUAACAGGUGGCCAUUUUGGAAACAAGAGCAAAUCCAAAAAGGCUACAGGGAAUAACAGUAGCCAAGUUUCAACAUCUGGCAACUCCCAAACAGCUUUAAAGGUUUUAUCAAGCCCAUUGGUUGUUGCAAUGGAAACAUUUGAGCUAACCAUUGCUCCUACAAGUGCUCCAGCACCCAGCCAACAUCCAGCCAACACCACUGCUUCUCCUCUUACCAGCACACAGCCAGCAUCACUACUCUGCAGCCUAACAGAACAUCACUUGUCCCCAGUCAUCAUGACUUGCAGCAUCAUUGAUCCUCACCAUGCAGCAGCACAGCAGCCUUGAAAUUAUUACAUUUAAUAGGUGUGAUUACUAAUAUAAUUAAUAUAAAAUGUUCAGUAUGAUUUCUUAUGUAAUAUUGCAGUAUAAUACAAAUCUGAAACACACUUUGUCAUGUUUUCAUAACUCACCAUGGUCCGUUGAUGCUCCAUCAUAGGAUACCAGUCCUGUGGCAUCACUGGUCCCUGUGCUCCUGCAGUAGUUCACUUACACGCUAACAAGUUUACUCGAUUAGUAAUAAUCGAGUAAUUUCUAGUAGUAUUAGUAGUAAUUACUUGUAUAAUACAGUAGUAGCCUAUAAUACAUAUAGUAUUAAGUAUAGUUCCCCAUUUAGUUUAGUUAUUUUCAACAUUGUUGGCCUUUAUUUAAACUUCUAUGUGCUUUCAAUCUCACUUAGGGCUUCUAACUUCCCUUUCCUUCUGCCAUGAUCAUAAUUAGCUGAGCUUAUAGAUAUUUACAGCUAAGAGAAACACAAAGCUUAAAGCACUC